GUAUGGGAUAGGUGAAGUGGUGGGUGGACCAGGGACGGCGCAUGGGGUCCCUCCAGUGAUCCAUUUACUACGCUCCCCCUCUCCGGCAUCACACUGCGGCUGGUCGUCCUGGAAUCUCAACUUCGCGGGAUCCAAAGUAGCUACAGUAGUGGCGAGCAAGCGGCCAAAACCACCAAAAGGAGGAGGUAAACAAGAGCUGGGAAAUGUGGACUGGAUCUAACCAGUCGCGCAAAGCCCGGCUUUUACCGUCGUGCGCCACCAGUGUAAUUACAGCCCGCUCGUGAAUGGCCAUCCCGAGGCCGCGGCAGGGUGAGAUCCUAUGUUGUCACGCAAAAGAACUUACGCUCAUCUCGCGUCGUCAUCGUCGGCAUUAUUGAAGAUUGACCAGUAUAUGAUCCAUUCGAUUUGAUCGCAACCGUGGCCGUUGGAUCGCCCCCACCCAACGGCUGCCCGUGCCACGCGGGCUUCCCUCGCGAAAUUCCAAUCGUCUAGUUGUCGGCCGCCAGGCCGACAUAUACGGCAAUCCCGAGGCUUGCGGUAUUUACUGCCCAGGUAAAUACAUUGGCAUCGUAUGGGACCAAUCAUCAUACGCAUGGUUGUUUGGAGUAACAAACUUGUUUCCCAAAAGAAUGAAGAACCUACUUGCUCACUACUAUCAAGUUUUAAAUUCAAUGAUCAAAAGAGUGUGGCUUAACAAACAAC
Selaginella moellendorffii is the source of this 702-nucleotide long non-coding RNA. RefSeq lists it as uncharacterized. NCBI's taxonomy places the organism in Eukaryota, Viridiplantae, Streptophyta, Lycopodiopsida, Selaginellales, Selaginellaceae. The record is from RefSeq and is a predicted model, not a curated record. The transcript is spliced from 5 exons.